AUGGAAUCCAGCGACCCCAGCCCCGCCGCAGUAAGUAAGACGCAAGAAAUAUCCGUACCACCUGUGGAGGGUGUAGCUGGAGGAGGCACUAGUUAUGGCUGGGUGGAUGGAGGCUUACAGGGGUCGCAUCUAGGUUCUAGUGUGAUUGACCCUACUAAGGUGCACUCGGCAGAUCUUUUGCAUGUGUGGUCUAUGCCCAGCACAGCAAAUGUUAGCCAACAAGAAGCACCUCGACCUCUAGAGCAUGUUAACCUUUUGGCAGCAAGAAAUGAAAGGGAAAGUUUUCAAAUCGCGUUACGUCCAAAAGUUUCAUGGGCCAGUUCAGGUAUUGCAGGGCCUGUGCAGAUUCAGUGCACUGAUCUAUGCUCAUCCUCUGGAGGCAGGUUAGUGGUUGGUCAAUCUAUAACGUUGCGACAUGUGGUGCCUAUAUUAGGUGUACCAGAUGCCCUUGUGCCUAUCGAUCCUUCCAGUCCGCAAAUAAACCUACUUCCUGGGGAGACAACUGCAGUAUGGGUCUCACUAAAUGUUCCUUGUGGGCAAGAACCUGGUCUAUAUGAAGGAGAAAUAUGUAUUACUGCUGUGAGGACAGACUCAGAUUCCAAGGCAGACUCGUUACCAAAAUCUGAGAGAUACCAGCUGUAUAAAGACUUAAAGACUUGUCUUGAUAUCACUGAAUCCAGAGACCACUCUUCGUCAGAGGAAAUGUGCUAUAACAUGCAGAUACUAAGACUAUCAUCAACUUCAACCACACUGAGGAGGAUGCUAGUGCUUCCAGCAUUCCAGGACUGCCAUGAGAAUAAUGGAUUAGGAGACAUGAUGGAUGAAGAUGUUAUGAACAAUGUUGCUGUUCGUGUAAAGUUAAGCCUGACUGUGUGGGAUUUCACUCUCCCAUUGACACCUUCCUUACCUGCUGUUUUUGGUAUAUCUGAAACUGUCAUUGAAGACCGGUUUUGUUUGGAGCAUGGCACCAAAGGGUGGUAUGAUGCACUGGAUCAUCACUUCAGGUGGCUCCUCCAGUACAGAAUCAGUCCAUUUUUCUGCAGAUGGGGCGAUAGCAUGCGUAUUCUUGCGUACACAUGCCCCUGGCCUGCUGAUCAUCCAAAGGCUAAUGAAUAUUAUUCUGAUCCAAGACUCGCAGCAUAUGCUGUACCUUACGCGCCUAUUCUGUCAUGUACCGAUGCAGCAAAAAAUUCUCUGCGAAGAGAGGUUGAAAUCUUGAAAACAGAGGCUCAUUGGUCGAAAGCUUACUUCUACUUGUGGGAUGAGCCAUUGAAUAUGGAGCAGUACGAAGUGAUCCGCAACAUCUCUAACGAGUUAAGGACAUACACACCUGAUGUGCGUAUUCUAACAACUUAUUAUGCUGGUCCAAGUGGUUCUGAACUGGCUCCUUCUACGUUCGAGGCUUUUACGAAAGUUCCAAAUGUUCUACGUCCGCAUACACAAAUCUUUUGCACUAGCGAAUGGGUUCUUGGCACAAGAGAGGACUUAGUGAAGGAUAUUAUUGCUGAACUACGACCUGACCUUGGUGAAGAGUGGUGGACAUAUGUUUGUAUGGGGCCUUCUGAUCCUCAACCAAAUUGGCACCUUGGGAUGCGCGGAACCCAGCAUCGGGCAGUGAUGUGGAGAGCAUGGAAGGAGGGUGGCACAGGAUUUCUUUACUGGGGUACCAACUGCUACGAGAAGGCUAUGAUACCAAGUGCCGAGAUCUGUUUCCGACGCGGCCUUCCUCCAGGCGACGGGGUUCUGUUUUACCCUGGCGAGGUGUUUUCUUCGUCAAAGGAACCAGUUGCGUCCCUCAGGCUUGAACGCAUUCUCAGUGGCAUGCAGGACAUUGAAUACUUGAACCUUUACUCCUCAAAGUACGGCAGGGAGGAGGCCUUGGCCCUCCUGGAGAAGACUGGCGCGUAUCUUGGCCCGGAUCGCUAUGCACAUGAUCAUGGGCCAGUUGAUGUGAUGCGCGGUGAGGUAUACCGCACCUGCAGAUCUUAG
Molecule: ribosomal RNA, 1989 nt
Filed under: Triticum aestivum (bread wheat)
Lineage: Eukaryota; Viridiplantae; Streptophyta; Magnoliopsida; Poales; Poaceae
Description: partial small subunit ribosomal RNA
Source: RNAcentral